RNAcentral lists this ribosomal RNA (253 nucleotides) under uncultured bacterium. Its description in RNAcentral is "partial 16S ribosomal RNA". It matches the Rfam family "Bacterial small subunit ribosomal RNA", at positions 524 to 776 of the family's 1533-position model. The record is from RNAcentral.
UACGGAGGGUGCAAACGUUGCUCGGAAUCAUUGGGCGUAAAGCGAGCGUAGGCGGCUAUGUAAGUCGGGUGUGAAAGCCCAGAGCUCAACUCUGGAAGUGCAUUCGAAACUGCAUGGCUUGAGUAGCGGAGAGGAUAGCGGAAUUCCCGGUGUAGAGGUGAAAUUCGUAGAUAUCGGGAGGAACACCAGUGGCGAAGGCGGCUAUCUGGACGCAUACUGACGCUGAAGUUCGAAAGCAUGGGGAGCAAACAGG